UACAGAGGUCUCAAGCGUUGUUCGGAUUCAUUGGGCGUAAAGGGUGCGUAGGUGGCGGGGUUAGUCAGGUGUGAAAUCUCGGAGCUCAACUCCGAAACUGCACUUGAUACUGCCUUGCUUGAGUACUGGAGAGGAGAUUGGAAUUUACGGUGUAGCAGUGAAAUGCGUAGAUAUCGUAAGGAAGACCAGUGGCGAAGGCGGCAUCCUGGACCAACACUGACGCUGAGGAGCGAAAGCCAGGGGAGCAAACGGG
RNAcentral lists this ribosomal RNA (253 nucleotides) under uncultured bacterium. Its description in RNAcentral is "partial 16S ribosomal RNA". It matches the Rfam family "Bacterial small subunit ribosomal RNA", at positions 524 to 776 of the family's 1533-position model. The record is from RNAcentral.